GCCUUCUUGUAUAAGCACUGUGCUAAAAUUACAGAAACUUUGAUUUCAUCUUGGUUUUUGUAAUAAUGCUAGCAGAGUACACACAAGAAGAAAAGUAACUGCACUAAAUUAGAAAAGACUAGGGUGGACCUCUUUCUUAAUGUCCAGUGUCCUUUGUCUUAAGAUUUGGUGCAAUACUG
Molecule: small nucleolar RNA, 179 nt
Organism: Erinaceus europaeus (western European hedgehog)
Lineage: Eukaryota; Metazoa; Chordata; Mammalia; Eulipotyphla; Erinaceidae
Product: small nucleolar RNA SNORA81
Exons: 1
Source: RefSeq, a predicted model, not a curated record